CAGCCGCCGCGGUAAUACGUAGGGUCCGAGCGUUGUCCGGAAUUACUGGGCGUAAAGAGCUCGUAGGUGGUUUGUCGCGUUGUUCGUGAAAACUCACAGCUCAACUGUGGGCGUGCGGGCGAUACGGGCAGACUAGAGUACUGCAGGGGAGACUGGAAUUCCUGGUGUAGCGGUGGAAUGCGCAGAUAUCAGGAGGAACACCGGUGGCGAAGGCGGGUCUCUGGGCAGUAACUGACGCUGAGGAGCGAAAGCGUGGGGAGCGAACAGGAUUAGAUACCCCUGUAGUCCCUGUCUCUUAUAC
Molecule: ribosomal RNA, 301 nt
Filed under: uncultured bacterium
Lineage: Bacteria
Description: partial 16S ribosomal RNA
Rfam family: Bacterial small subunit ribosomal RNA
Source: RNAcentral